This 3424-nucleotide long non-coding RNA is filed under the name Heterocephalus glaber (naked mole-rat). Its description in RNAcentral is "lncRNA (ENSHGLG00000047791.1)". Lineage: Eukaryota; Metazoa; Chordata; Mammalia; Rodentia; Bathyergidae. The record is from RNAcentral.
GAGACAGCCCGGCACAUCUAUUCCCCUAAUAAAGGCUUGUUGUGGCCUGGUCUGGUCUUGGUCUUUGGCACUUUUACCUGACAUUUCUGGUGCCGUGACUCGGAUGGUAGAUGGUCCAUUAAUGGACGAUCCCCCCCAGGAUGGGGUUGAUUGACCUUUUGGCCAUCUCCAAUGGACCUAUCUGCCAUUGCCAGGACCCUCCGGGGCUUUCUACCUUUGCCAUUGCUGGCGCUACACAUCCACACCGGUCACCAAUGUCUGGGUGAGUAGGGAGUUCAGCCUCCCUCUCGUCGGGUUCUCUGUCUCGUGUUCUCUCCCCCUCUGGGGACUUCUCAGAAAUCCAAGCGCUUGGUCAGAGAAACCCCCACGGCCUCUGGGCCCAGGACCCUGCCCCUGGGAGACGUCCCAUCGGCCCGCCUCCUCUCAUUCUCUCCCUUUGGGAGACUCACUCGGAGAUUGUCAAAGGAGACAAGGACGUUUCUCCCCUUUGUCUUUCCCCCCAGGGGCUGCCUCCUCCUCACCCGCUCUAAUCAGGGGGCCCAACAAUCCAAACCCCGCCCCUCAAUGCCUCCGGGCUGCCUUCUGGCACAACUCAAACCCCUCGGAUUGUUGGGACCAGACUUUAAGCCAAAAAGACUUGUUUUCUAUUACAAUCAGGUUUGACCUCAGUAUAAAUUAGAUAAUGGGUUUCCAUGGCCCAAAAAUGGCACUUUCAAGUUUAACUUACUGUGUGAUUUACACAACUUCUGUCAACACAAUGGCAAAUGGUCAGAAAUCCCCUACAUACAAGCCUUUCCUAACUAUGCUUUUAACCCUCCCUCUGUCAAACCUGUUCUCCUUCUCAAAUCGUCCUAGCCUGAGCCAAUCACUCACCGCUCAUACCUCCCCCACUUUAUAACUCUGUUGAUAGGAAAAAGUUUUAAAGUUUAAUAGAUUAGCUAUUAAAGUAGUUGUGGAAGCAAACUAGGACAAGACCAAAAGGCCUAGGUACAUAAAGAAGGUGUGUGGAAGUGAUUUAUGAAGGAAAUAUAUAUGUUUACUUGUUGGUUUCAAGUUUCUUAUAAAAGGUUUACAGGAAUAGAGGUUUCAUUCCUUCUGAUUUUAAUUCUACAAGAGAUCUCUGUUAAUUGACUUACAAAAAGUUUUAAAUAGUCUUAUUUAUAAUUAUAAACCUAAAAUUAUAAAGAGAUUAUAAUUCCUUUGGGCUAAAUAUAUUUGAGUGCACCCUAGUUUUAGAAAUUGUCUUAUAUCUUUGUUUUUUGUCCAAUCGUACAGCUGUUUUGUUUAUAGAUAAAGGUUAUUAAGUUCAAGGCAUGCUCCCCUUGGUGAACAAAGGAGUGGCUGCAUGGAAAUAUUUUCCAGUCUUUGUUCACUAGGGGGACCUCAACAGUUUUCAUCUUACAACAGACUGACCCGAUAGUUUUCAUAGCCUUAUAAAAGACUUACAGGAAUAAAUAUUAUUUAAAUAUAUUAUUAUACUGUUUAUAUCAAUUGUCAUCAAAGGGAUAAAUUCUAAAUAUGUUAUUAUGGUGUGCUUACACUGGUCAUUUUCAAAGGACUAAAUAUCCUGUAAAAAACAACAAUAACAAGGUUUUAUUUUUUCUAGUGUACUAAAUGUAUUUGUACUUUCUGACUGUACAGGUUUUCUAAUAUUUGUUUAUGAUAAUAACCUCUUUUUGGUUCAGGUAUUUGCCUUUUCAUACACUCUAGCUAUUUAUGAUAACAGAUACAUAUAUGGGCUAUUUUCUUUAGAUGGUAUCCUAUCAAAAGAUUAUUUAUUUAUUUGUUUUUUAAAGAUAAUAAUUUAGGUAAAAACUUUUGGUGUUUUUAAAAAAUGAGUACAUUUAACAAUGGCUAUUUUAUAUCAAGAUGGACAUUUAAAUGUGUUACAAAGGUAAAGUCAUCAUAAUUGUCAUGUUAAAAUAUUAUUUGUGGCUCUUUUUCUGUUAAUAUUCUACAGGAAUUCAACUACUAAAAAACAACCAUGACUGAUAACAGUAACAGUUCUCUAUAUUUUAAAUUCCAAAAUGCUUGCUAUUCUGGUAAAACUAUAAUAGUUAAGUUCAUUAUUCUUGUUACAAUGCUAACGCUAUUGACCUUCUCUUCUGGAUGUUCAACAACUAAAGUUUGGAGACCAGAACUAAAAGGUAACUGGGCUAUGAGGACAGCCAAUAUUUUGGCCCUGGCCCCUCAAGGUCAACAAAGUUCCAGGACAUGAGGGAACCUUCUCUACAGGGUCCUACAUCUUUGGAGGCUUCCAAAAACUGAGAGAUACAGGAAUCAAACUGUCCUGGCCUUGAAUUUAAAGGAGAAGUCAGGUUCAUAGUAACACUACACUCAUCGGUAGGUUGGCGUCCAAAAGACAUUUGCUCAGUUACAUACACCUUUUAUAUUUAAAAAACAAAGGAUUAUAAAGAUUAUAUAAAUUGUGUUUAUCACUUUUCCACUCAUUCUCUAAGAGCAAGGACAUGACACAGGGGCCCUUAGAUCAGGAGCUAUGAUCUCUUCCAUAACAGUCUCUUACUUCUAUAACAAAUGAGCCCCUAAACAUCCAGCUGUCUCUGUAAAACCUAUGUAAAUAAUAAAUAAAAAAUUACAUGUCAAAUGAAAAAAAUUAAAACUCAAUGGGCCAGAUAGAUAUGCCCCCCAAGGUACUAAUCAAUGGUGGGGUACAUUUGGUUCCUGGAGCUCAUGGCUAGCCUGGCUAUUACUACUCUUGGGACCCCUCAGUAUUAUCUGUUUAAUUCUCUGUUUUGGACUGUGCCUGGUUCGCUGUUUUCAAAAUUUCUUGCAGGAACGAUUGAGGGCAUUCACCAGCCAGACAGUCACAGAGUUCAUCAUGGCAGGGUACCAGCCAGUACGGCAAAAGGAAGAGGUCCCCACUUGCCACCGGCCUCAUGAGAUCCAGGUCUAGCCCCGAUCUUUGCCCCUGGUCAGCAGGAAGCAGCUCCAGAAGAAGAGACCUUAGAACAACUAUCAUACAACAAAAGCCUGGAAUGAUAGGUCUCCCACCACCUCAGCAGCUAUUAUGUAUCAUAGCUGCCCUCUUCCUAUGGUGCCUUGCCCCCUCCCCUGUGUGAUGUCAUGCCAAGAUGGUUGCUCCCACCAAAGAAUAAACCCUUCUUCCCAGCAUGCCCCUGUUCCCGCCUAGAAAGUAACCUAAUACUCGCUCACCUCCUACAACCUAGUGACAUCACUGGCUCCUCCAUUCCCUAGUCACUACCUCACUCAACCCCACCUCAGCCCCUACAAACCCCACCCCAGUCUCUAUAAAAGACUCUCCCUGCCCCGGCCAUAUUGCUUUUGUCUCUCCUUUGUUCAGAGACAGCCCGGCAGAUCUAUUCCCCUAAUAAAGGCUUGCUGUGGCCUGGUCUGGUCUUGGUCUUCGGCCCUUUUACCUGACACCAUCUUAAUUGUAUAUAAA